AAUUCUCUCAUUCUCUCUCUUUCUUUCUCUCUCACGAAGAAUUUGUUCUUCUUUCUCUUCCUUCAACUUUUCCCAAUUUUGGUCUUUCAUUUUCUCUUCCAUAUUCAUAUCUUUAAAAUCUGAAAGAGGAAUCAAAUAUGGGGCGUCAUGAUUUAAAAUGGCGGAAAUUUCAUCUAUUUUUUUAUUUCUUCUGAUUUACUGUUUGUUGUUUUAGGUUAUGUUUGAUUGUACUAAUUUUCAUCAUUGAUUUACUGCAGAUUUGGAGAUGAAAACAUUAUCGAUGUGCGAUAUCGAUGUUAUGAAAACAGAAGGUUUGAUAGAUUCCUCGGAUGCUUCGAAUCAAGAUAACAACAAGAAAUCGAAUUAUGGUCAAAUCUCUGUGGAGUCGUAAUCGCAUCUAUCAAAUUUGGAGGAUCAAGUGAAGUCAUAUAAGGAAAAAGUGACGACGUAUGACGAACAAGUUCAGACAUAUGAGGAAAAAGUUCAGACACUUGAAGAUGAGAUCAAGGAAAGCAUGGUAAAACACUGAGAUUAAUACUAAGGAAGUCAUGGUAAAACAACAACGAAAGUAGCUCAAGAAGUUGUCUCAGGACUGAAACCCGACACUAUAUCAAUACAAAUAUGGAGAUCCAUCUUUGUCAACGAUAAGCGAUGUUCACUAUUUCAGAACAAUGUCGGUUUCAGGCACCAAGAGUUACCCUAGCAGAAUAGCAGGUUUGAUAAUGCACCACUUUCAAUUAUUUCUCAUCCUUAGUGCAUUAUUUUUCAUUCUUCUGAUUAAGCCUUAUUUUUAAAGUGAUAUAAUUAUAAAUGGACUUGCCAUCCUUGCACCUGUUGACUCACCAAACACCGACGGCAUAGACACUGCUAAGCUUUAUUUUCUUAAAACAUCAACAUAGUCGUGGAUGUAUAUGUGUCUGUGUUAUUUUUGAACCUACUAACAAGAACUAUUUGAUUUCCAACCCUUUUCCUUUUCAACAGAUUCAUCAACGAAUGUUAGGAUUGAAGACAACUACAUUGUCUCUGGUGAUGACUGCAUUGCAAUAAAAAAUGGAUGGGAUGAGUAUGGAAUCAAAGUUGGAAGCCAUCUCAACAAAUUAUCAUAAGAAGACUAUCAUGUAUAUCGCCUUAUAGUGCUAUGGUUGCAUUAGGGAGUGAAAUGUUAGGUGGAAUCCAACGUGUAAUAGUUGAAGACGUAACUGCUAUUAACACUGAAUCAGUUGUUAGAAUCAAAACAGUUGUCGGUAGAGGCGCAUUCGUGAAAGACAUUUUUGUUAAAAGAAUGAACUCGAACACACUUGGUGAACAGGAUAAUCUAAAAGGAGGUUGAUGUGCAUAAAUCCACAUUGUUUUUUUGUCAAUAAAUGGGAGGAGAAGCUGAAUCGUGACUUGUUUUGUAUAGGUAGCACGUCCUGAUUCUGUGCAGGUUUGUUGUAAUGGAUUACCGACUGAGCGCGGUGAUAUGGACUCAUUGGAUGCAUAAUUUAUAAGGGUUAAUAACAGUUGGAUGCAGAUUAGGUGCAUGCUAUGAAUAAGUUGUUUCGCUCAGAAGAAGAAAAAUAUACUUUGCUUAACGAAAUUGUAGAGAUAACGGAAGAUUUUACUGGGGCAGAGCGGCAAAAUAUACUAUAAAUAAUCUUCAAUUGAAAUUUCUGCAUCCAUCACCAGAUUAUAGACUGACACAUCACAAAUAAAUGACAGGAAUGAAGCUGGAAUUUUAACGGCCAGGAAGGAUUUGGACUAUAUUGUGCGUGAUGAGUUGCUUGUGGCAUUAAAAAGGGUUUGUGAUUUUGCAGCUUCUUAUUGACUCAGCAAUAUCUUAUGGCGUGUUUAAUGCAUGUUUACACCAUCUAAUGAAACUUAUGGAUUUGCAGCAAAAAGGAACAUUUGAAACAGGGCAAGAGGACACUACAUAAAUUCCUGAAGAACCGAAACUGAGAUUGGCACAUAGAGAAGAAACUAUUGCUGUUCUUGCAUGUUAUUUUCCUGAACCAC
Molecule: long non-coding RNA, 1995 nt
Organism: Vicia villosa (hairy vetch)
Lineage: Eukaryota; Viridiplantae; Streptophyta; Magnoliopsida; Fabales; Fabaceae
Exons: 3
Source: RefSeq, a predicted model, not a curated record